Long non-coding RNA from Passer domesticus (house sparrow), 1023 nucleotides. RefSeq lists it as uncharacterized. NCBI's taxonomy places the organism in Eukaryota, Metazoa, Chordata, Aves, Passeriformes, Passeridae. The transcript has 2 exons. The record is from RefSeq and is a predicted model, not a curated record.
AGACACCUUAUAGGGCCCCAGAGAUGUUACUAAAACCUUGGGGUCACCUAAUUGGAUGGAAGCCAAAAGGUCCCGCCUGGGCCAUAAGGUAGAAAAAGAGAGAACAAAGGAACCACGAGGCUUUUGUGAACGUGUUUCUACCAGGAUCAGACCUAUGUACCUGGAUCGGAUUUUCUGUUUAUUGUUUUUCCUUUUAUUAAACCUUUCUGUUUCUAACACUGCAGCAGAAGCCAUCCUGCUCAUUAUUUGCCUCCAAAGGUAAUAGCUAAGCUAUCCUUGGUGUAUUAGGUUCCCUUUUAAGGGCUCAUAAAACCCUGGCCCGACAAAACAGAACCUAAUACUGGAGUGUCACAAUGUUCCCCUUGUUCUGCAGUGUCACAAUGGCCCCAUGCUUCCAUGAGGCCUUGCAAUGUCACAAUGGCUUCAUGCUCCCACAAAGCCCUGAUGUGUCACCAUGGCCCCUCGGCUCCAUGCGCCCUCACUGUGUCACAAAGGCUCCUCUGUGACACUGUGGGCUCCACAAGGUUACCAUGGACCCUUGACUCCUUGGGGCCCCUGAGUUUCACAACAGAGACCGUCCUGGAUUGCCAAGCAAAUUACAUCUGCUGAUAACAGGCUACUGAAUGUCACUGCAUGACUGAUAAGAACUACAGCAUCCCAUUGGGAGAUGCUAUGCCCAGAGGGAGGAGCCAACUAUUCCUACCCAGAUAUAAUCUUGAGUUUCUGGAACACCAGCAUGGCUUUCACCACUGGAUUUUCCCAGAGGAACAGCAGCUGUCUCUUCUUCCACUGGAUCUUCAGAGGAAGACUACGCCUUUCUACAGCAUCCCUGCUCCAACAGAACCACACCUGACACUCCAGGAGGACUGCAGCCACAAUUCCAACUGGACUGCUACCAACACCCUGACCAACAGGGUGUCAGGUUGUGUUGUGACUCUGUCAGUGUUGUUUUAGUCCACUGCAUUGUUUAUUUUAUAUUUUUAUUUUCUUCCCUAGUAAAGAACUGUUAUUCCUGCUCCAAUA